RNAcentral lists this long non-coding RNA (473 nucleotides) under Vigna radiata. RNAcentral's name for it is "long non-coding RNA (VRAD_LNC004026)". The record is from RNAcentral. Lineage: Eukaryota; Viridiplantae; Streptophyta; Magnoliopsida; Fabales; Fabaceae.
UGGGUAGAACAUUUGUUUCCUGAUGGAGAAUGGAUUUUUACUUCAUAAAAGGAUGAGAUAGUCAAAUCCAAAUUUGUCCCACUUUGUUGCCGUAUCUCAAUUAUGGGUGUUGUUCUCAAUCUUCUUUUCAAAAGGGCUAUUAUGAUCCCUUUCUUCCUUAUUAAUGUUUAUUCUUACUCAAUUAGUUUUUAUCCUCUCUUUUUUCCACUCUUCCAAAAAAAUCAAACAAAAAGACCCUCCCUAAUUCUAGUUUAGUCUAUCUAUAACAUGUCGUGUCACUACAACUAGAGGUGUCAAUUUAACCCAUGGCUCCAGGGCCAGCCCCAACCCACUAUUGAAAAAGCCCUAUUUUAAGAAGCCCCUUAAGUAGGGGGCCAGAAAAAAGCCCCAACCCCCAAAACCCCCUCUCAAGUGGGUUAGGGUCAGGGUUAAAGUGGGUUUAGCCCCACUCCAAAACUUUAAUUAAAUUUUAG